Molecule: long non-coding RNA, 433 nt
Filed under: Mus caroli (Ryukyu mouse)
Lineage: Eukaryota; Metazoa; Chordata; Mammalia; Rodentia; Muridae
Description: predicted gene 11646 (MGP_CAROLIEiJ_G0002722.1)
Source: RNAcentral
AUGGCGGAGGUCAAACAUUCUUACAGAACCAUCAGCGCCCACAGAGGCAAACAUGUCCCUGCCCCCUCCGGCCCGGCUGAAGGCGAUGUCAUAGACCUGUUGGUGAGAAGGUCCAGAUUCAGCUCAGCUGUCGCCUCUCCCACAGCAUGGACGGCUGUCAUUCUCAGACCAUCUGAACCCUAACUCACCACACAAGCGGAAGGCAACUGGGAGCUGGAGGUAUGGCUUGGUGUUUAAGAGAACUUGUUGCUCUUGUUGAAGACCCAGGUUCAGCUACGAGUGAUCUGUAACUCUAGAAUGGAGGAUGACACCCCCUUCUGGCCUUCUCAUACUAUACACACAUGUGGUACAAGGACAUGCAUACAUACAGGCAAACACCCAUACACAUAAAAUAAAAAUAAAAAUAAAAAUAAAUAAAUCUUAAAAAAUAAAA